GACUCUAUUGAUCAGGUCAAACAACUCUAUUUUAUCGGGUUUCAGGAAAAUAUAAUAAAAGCACAUAAUAGAGGAAGAAGAAGUAGAAAGGAAUAGAAAAAAUGACAGACUCUAUUAAUCAGACUCGUUAGUUCCGCAGCUCGGGGAGAAAGUUCCAUAAUUCACUUCAAGAUAGAUAGAAGGGAGAAUGUCGCUUUAGAAAGAAAGAAAACUCAUAAGGAAACAUUAUGAAAAGAAAAAUCUAUCUAAAGAGAGAAGUAUAUUAGAUAAUUAAUAAAGAAAAGAGAGCCAAAGAAGGAAGAGAGAUUCCAAAGCUGGAAUUCGAAUUAGAACAGAAAAGAAAUUGAAAUGAUGAUGAUAAAAAGUGAAAAGAGGAGUGGAUAGCUAGCGCAAGGAAAUGGCAAAGGGAUAUCCUUUUCCCUGAG
This 425-nucleotide long non-coding RNA is filed under the name Nicotiana benthamiana. Its description in RNAcentral is "long non-coding RNA (NBEN_LNC029819)". The record is from RNAcentral. Lineage: Eukaryota; Viridiplantae; Streptophyta; Magnoliopsida; Solanales; Solanaceae.